GUACGAUGCGGGCACCUGAAAGGCUUGGGAAUUCAUCAUCAGCAAACUGCUGAGAGAACUUCCAAGGUAUCUGAUCUCCAAAGGGCUGGCGACCUUGGAGCAAAGCUGUUCUAGCAGACUCCUGAGAAAUUUGACCCUCCAGGCAGACCUGGAUGACACAGAGAAUAUCAGGAAGACAAUUUUUUGUCUUGUCAACAACAGGGCCUAGUAGCACAAACAAGUGGUGAGCUGGAGCAUCAGCCAUCAACUGUAAAUCAUUUGGAGAAUUUUUGUAAUGAGAAGCAACAUAGAGGGCCAUCAUUCGCUGCAAAAAUAACUCACUGUCUUUAUGAUAAGAGAAAAGUGUGUCCCGGUUAACAUAGUACAGAUCACAAUGACCGGGUUGGGGUAACCGGCUGAUACUUGGGAUACUAUUUGUAACAUCCAAACAGAGCAAAGCAUUAAGCCAUUGUUCAAUGCGAUCACCAGAAGCAUAUCUAAUGGAUUCACUCAAUUCUAUCUUUUUGAAAAGCCGACCUGAAAUUGCACUAUCUGCACUUUUGGACUUCUGACUUUGCUCCUCUAGUUGUUGUAGCAACUUCAAUGACAAGGAUCUCCCGGUGCCUUCAUAGCCAUUCACAGUUGAUGCAAGGAAGACGAGGUAAGGACCAAGCAAAGAUUUGACCACAGGUAAUGGAAUAGCUGCUGCUUCAUCA
Molecule: unclassified non-coding RNA, 695 nt
Filed under: Hevea brasiliensis (rubber tree)
Lineage: Eukaryota; Viridiplantae; Streptophyta; Magnoliopsida; Malpighiales; Euphorbiaceae
Source: RNAcentral